Non-coding RNA from Physcomitrium patens, 1482 nucleotides. The record is from RefSeq and is a predicted model, not a curated record. NCBI's taxonomy places the organism in Eukaryota, Viridiplantae, Streptophyta, Bryopsida, Funariales, Funariaceae.
CUGAGAUUCUGCCCAUGCCUCCAUUCCGUCUGUACUUCAAGGCCAUGUCCGAGGGUAUCUUUCCUCUUCUGAGAUCCCACGACCGGCUAUGGCGAUCACCACCAUGGAGCCUCGCGAUUCCCUGCUCCUCAUCGUGCUCUGCUACUUCUUCCUGUUCGUGCUGCAGGACGUGCUGCAGCCCAUUCUGUUUGUAUUCCUCCUCCUGUUUGUCGCUUUCGUCACCUUUCAGCCAGCUCAUGAUCCCCAUCUCCACAGACCACGCCGUUAGAAUUAGAUACCUAGAAUUCUCCUUCAUCUUGUUGAACGUGGUUGUUCUCGCCCUGUCUCAGUUUUUGGGUUACCAUGGCUUGUUCGAUGGUAGUAAAAUUGGCGAGAUUGGAGUAGGGAAACAUAGGCAGGUGUCGCGUGAUAUGUACACUUAGAGUAUGACGAUGACCAGUGCAGGAUAAAUUUUUGUCGAAAUUUGUAAACUAGAGAUGAGGAUAUAAUGGUGAGAUUAUGUGCGAGGUUGUUUGGUUAACUUGGCCAUCAGGUUAUUCGUGGUCCGAAUGAUAUUGUGGAUUUAAGUUUCCUCUAGAAUAAUGAAGAGACCAUUAUCGAUUAGGCUGCUGCGGUUUCUAUGUGGCUCGUUUAUACUAGGCCUCCUUGCAUUCGAAAGCUUUUCGCUCUUUGUUCUCAUGAAAUGCUGCUCUGAAACCUAACUCCUGAGGAUUGGGAGUAUCAAGUAUUCUGUGCCUGCUGCCAGCUGUGGAGACACCCUCCUGUUCAGAAUAUGAGCCGGUGUACUUCAGGAUCAUUGGCAAUGAGCUGGAAAUGAAGCUUACAAAUCAGGAGCGUGUAUGUGCCUUAUGUAGAUAACUAGGUAUAUCAAUAAAUUCGCCGAAUUCGCAUGUUGAUCAUUCCGCUUUGCGCAAGAAUUGAGAUACCAAGCCUAGUACUUAAAUUUUUCCGCUAGUUUUGAAGUGAAGGGAGUUAUCAUCCUCGAGGAAAUGUCUUCUGAGAAGAAAAUAAAGCUGCUCCAUCCAUGUGAAUCCUUCUCUGGCGGUUUCAUGUGUAUGUUCUGUGUCUAGGGUGGGAUUAACUGCAUCAGAGCAACCAUACCAGCAAGCAGCUAAUUGAGAUCGAAUCAUCCUCAUGUAAUAAUCAAAAGGUUGUUUACAUUACACUGUUUCAGUGCAUAUUGAUUAGAUCUUUACUGUCCGAUUGAUUAGACACCGUUGCAUUUGUGUGUGCAUAUUGAUAUCAUGAACAUUAGAUGAGAUAGUUCAGAAACGGGAGAUGGAGAGUUACUGCAAAGACGAGAGAAUAUGGAACAAGACGUAGGACCUAAAUUAACAAUGCAUGUAGUUUAGUAGUCAUUACCUGAAUCACCAGCAGUGGCUUAGCCUCAUCUCUUAGUAGACACCUGAUUCAUUUGGAAUGAUGCACUCGGAUGCUUUGCAGAACCGAGAAAUGAUGCAGUCUUUUUUUCCUUUUCUAAAA